Molecule: ribosomal RNA, 506 nt
Filed under: uncultured bacterium
Lineage: Bacteria
Description: partial 16S ribosomal RNA
Rfam family: Bacterial small subunit ribosomal RNA
Source: RNAcentral
GAUGAACGCUAGCGGCAGGCCUAACACGUGCAAGUCGAGGGGCAGCACAUAAAGUGGUUUACUACGUUUGGUGGCGACCGGCGGACGGGGGCGUAACGGGUAUGCAACCUGCCUACAACAGGGGGAUCAUGGAGAGAAAUUUCAACUAAUUCCCCAUAAUAGCCGAAUCGGCAUCGGUUUUGGUUGAAAACUCCGGAGGCUGGAGAUGGGCAUGCGUUGUAUAAGAUGGUUGGUGAGGUAACGGCUCACCAAGUCAACGAUACAUAGGGGGACUGAGAGGUUAGCCCCCCACACUGGUACUGCGACACGGACCAGACUCCUACGGGAGGCAGCAGUGAGGAAUAUUGGUCAAGGGGGGCAACCCUGAACCAGCCAUGCCGCGUGCAGGAAGACGGCUCUAUGAGUUGUAAACUGCUUUUACAAGGGGAUAAAUCGGUGUACGUGUACACCGUUGAAGGUACCUUGGGAAUAAGGAUCGGCUAACUCCGUGCCAGCCGCCGCCGUAA